GGUCUAAUGGUGUAGUGGGCACACCUGCUAAAUAUCAAGCAUAACCAGAUUGGUAAGCAGGAGGACCUCGUUCGAACCGAGGUUAGGCUA
Molecule: non-coding RNA, 90 nt
Organism: Mycena leptocephala
Lineage: Eukaryota; Fungi; Basidiomycota; Agaricomycetes; Agaricales; Mycenaceae
Source: the annotation of a GenBank genome assembly